AUUGAACGCUGGCGGCAUGCCUUACACAUGCAAGUCGAACGGCAGCAUGAUCUAGCUUGCUAGAUUGAUGGCGAGUGGCGGACGGGUGAGUAAUACAUCGGAACGUGCCCUGUAGGGGGGGAUAACUAGUCGAAAGAUUAGCUAAUACCGCAGACGACCUGAGGGUUAAAGUGGGGGGGCGCAAGGCCUCAUGCUAUAGGGGCGGCCGAUGUCUGAUUAGCUAGUUUGUGAGGUAAAGGUUCACCAAGGCGACGAUCAGUAGCUGGUGUGAGGGGACGAUCGGCCGCACUGGAACUGGGACACGGCCCAGACUCCUACGGGACGCAGCAGUGGGGAAUGUUGGACAAUGGGCGAGAGCCUGGUCCAGCAAUGCCGCGUGUGUUAAGAAGGCCUUCCGGUUGUAAAGCACUUUUGUCCGGAAAGAAAUGGCUCUGGUUAAUACCUGGGGUCGAUGACGGUACCGGAAGAAUAAGCACCGGCUAACUACGUG
RNAcentral lists this ribosomal RNA (490 nucleotides) under uncultured bacterium. RNAcentral describes it as "partial 16S ribosomal RNA". It matches the Rfam family "Bacterial small subunit ribosomal RNA", at positions 30 to 507 of the family's 1533-position model. The record is from RNAcentral.